GCGCCAGUAGCUCAGUUGGAUAGAGUGUUUGACUACGAAUCAAAAGGUCGGGGGUUCGAAUCCCUCCUGGCGUGCCA
Molecule: transfer RNA, 77 nt
Filed under: Clostridiales bacterium
Lineage: Bacteria; Bacillati; Bacillota; Clostridia; Eubacteriales
Also listed under: 1 other name
Description: tRNA-Arg
Rfam family: tRNA
About the family: Transfer RNA (tRNA) molecules are approximately 80 nucleotides in length. Their secondary structure includes four short double-helical elements and three loops (D, anti-codon, and T loops).
Source: RNAcentral